Molecule: small nuclear RNA, 106 nt
Filed under: Colobus angolensis palliatus
Lineage: Eukaryota; Metazoa; Chordata; Mammalia; Primates; Cercopithecidae
Source: RNAcentral
GUGCCCGCUUCGGCAGCACAUGUACUAAACCUGGACCAAUACUGAGAAGAUUAGCAUGGCCUGUCCACAAACAUGACAUGCAAAUUUGUAAGUGUUCCAUAUCAAA